This 402-nucleotide ribosomal RNA is filed under the name uncultured bacterium. RNAcentral's name for it is "partial 16S ribosomal RNA". It matches the Rfam family "Bacterial small subunit ribosomal RNA", at positions 360 to 774 of the family's 1533-position model. The record is from RNAcentral.
AAUAUUGCACAAUGGGCGAAAGCCUGAUGCAGCGACGCCGCGUGAGGGAUGACGGCCUUCGGGUUGUAAACCUCUUUCAGUAGGGACGAAGCGCAAGUGACGGUACCCACAGAAGAAGCACCGGCCAACUACGUGCCAGCAGCCGCGGUAAUACGUAGGGUGCGAGCGUUGUCCGGAUUUACUGGGCGUAAAGAGCUCGUAGGCGGUUUGUCACGUCGUCUGUGAAAACCCGAGGCUUAACCUCGGGCCUGCAGGCGAUACGGGCAGACUUGAGUACUGUAGGGGAGACUGGAAUUCCUGGUGUAGCGGUGGAAUGCGCAGAUAUCAGGAGGAACACCGGUGGCGAAGGCGGGUCUCUGUGCAGUAACUGACGCUGAGGAGCGAAAGCGUGGGUAGCGAACA